GCCUGGCUAGCUCAGUCGGUAGAGCACGAGAUUCUCUCAGGGUUGUGGGUUAAAGUCCCACGUUGGGGCA
Molecule: transfer RNA, 70 nt
Filed under: Strigamia maritima
Lineage: Eukaryota; Metazoa; Arthropoda; Chilopoda; Geophilomorpha; Linotaeniidae
Rfam family: tRNA
About the family: Transfer RNA (tRNA) molecules are approximately 80 nucleotides in length. Their secondary structure includes four short double-helical elements and three loops (D, anti-codon, and T loops). Further hydrogen bonds mediate the characteristic L-shaped molecular structure. tRNAs have two regions of fundamental functional importance: the anti-codon, which is responsible for specific mRNA codon recognition, and the 3' end, to which the tRNAs corresponding amino acid is attached (by aminoacyl-tRNA synthetases). tRNAs cope with the degeneracy of the genetic code in two manners: having more than one tRNA (with a specific anti-codon) for a particular amino acid; and 'wobble' base-pairing, i.e. permitting non-standard base-pairing at the 3rd anti-codon position.
Source: Rfam by way of RNAcentral